CACCGGAAGAUUUAGUGGCGAACGGGUGAGGAUCACGUGAGAAACGUGCCCCAGACUCUGGGAUAACAAUUGGAAACGAUUGCUAAUACCGGAUGACGUCGGAGAAUCGCAUGAUUCACUGACGAAAGAUAUUUCGGUUUGGGAGCGUCUCGCGGCCUAUCAGCUUGUUGGUGGGGUAAUGGCCUACCAAGGCAACGACGGGUAGCUGGUCUGAGAGGAUGAUCAGCCACACUGGGACUGAGACACGGCCCAGACUCCUACGGGAGGCAGCAGUGGGGAAUCUUGCGCAAUGGGCGAAAGCCUGACGCAGCAACGCCGCGUGCGGGAUGAAGGCCUUCGGGCUGUAAACCGCUUUCAGCAGGAACGAAAAUGACGGUACCUGCAGAAGAAGGAGCGGCCAACUACGUGCCAGCAGCCGCGGUGACACGUAGGCUCCAAGCGUUGUCCGGAUUUAUUGGGCGUAAAGAGCUCGUAGGCGGUUGAGUAAGUCGGGUGUGAAAACUCUGGGCUUAACCCGGAGACGCCAUCCGAUACUGCUCUGACUAGAGUUCAGGAGGGGAGUGGGGAAUUCCUAGUGUAGCGGUGAAAUGCGCAGAUAUUAGGAGGAACACCGGUGGCGAAGGCGCCACUCUGGACUGAAACUGACGCUGAGGAGCGAAAGCAUGGGUAGCAAACAGGAUUAGAUACCCUGGUAGUCCAUGCCGUAAACGGUGGGCACUAGGUGUGGGUUCCAACUAACGGGAUCCGCGCCGUCGCUAACGCAUUAAGUGCCCCGCCUGGGGAGUACGGUCGCAAGACUAAA
Molecule: ribosomal RNA, 802 nt
Filed under: uncultured bacterium
Lineage: Bacteria
Description: SSU rRNA
Rfam family: Bacterial small subunit ribosomal RNA
Source: RNAcentral